Molecule: small nuclear RNA, 143 nt
Organism: Cyclopterus lumpus (lumpfish)
Lineage: Eukaryota; Metazoa; Chordata; Actinopteri; Perciformes; Cyclopteridae
Gene: U4
Rfam family: U4 spliceosomal RNA
About the family: U4 small nuclear RNA (U4 snRNA) is a component of the major U2-dependent spliceosome.
Source: Ensembl
AUCCCUUCGCAGAGGCAAUUUCAUAGUCGAGGAAGUUGUACUGAGACGUGAUUAUUGCUGGUUGAAAACUUAACCCAAUACCCCUGCCGAGAUGACUUGAAAUAUAGUUCAGCUAUGGCAAUUUUUGCCAGUCUCUAAGGAGA